CAACAUUCCUUUGGUUCGCGCGCCCUCAUCGCCGUGAUGAGGACUGGGAAGCGGGUGAGAAUCCCGCGCUGCCGCGCAACUGUAAGCGAGGAAAGUGCCGCCGGUCACCGGGAGUAAUCCUGGGAAGGCCGGUGGCGAUAGCCGGAUAUUGAAAUUCGUGGGCGAAGUCGCCCCUCAAUGUCCUAACUCGCCAAGCCAGGAGACCGGCGCGAACCGUCCACACUAA
Molecule: non-coding RNA, 226 nt
Filed under: Terriglobales bacterium
Lineage: Bacteria; Pseudomonadati; Acidobacteriota; Terriglobia; Terriglobales
Source: RNAcentral